CACGUAGGGCGCAAGCGUUGUCCGGAAUUAUUGGGCGUAAAGAGCUCGUAGGCGGUCUGUUGCGUCCGCUGUGAAAACUCGGGGCUUAACCCCGAGCCUGCAGUGGAUACGGGCAGACUAGAGGUAGGUAGGGGAGAAUGGAAUUCCCGGUGUAGCGGUGAAAUGCGCAGAUAUCGGGAGGAACACCGGUGGCGAAGGCGGUUCUCUGGGCCUUACCUGACGCUGAGGUGCGAAAGCGUGGGGAGCAAACAGG
This 253-nucleotide ribosomal RNA is filed under the name uncultured bacterium. Its description in RNAcentral is "partial 16S ribosomal RNA". It matches the Rfam family "Bacterial small subunit ribosomal RNA", at positions 524 to 776 of the family's 1533-position model. The record is from RNAcentral.